Molecule: transfer RNA, 72 nt
Filed under: Methanocaldococcus vulcanius M7
Lineage: Archaea; Methanobacteriati; Methanobacteriota; Methanococci; Methanococcales; Methanocaldococcaceae
Description: tRNA-Arg (TCG) (tRNA-Arg-TCG-1-1)
Rfam family: tRNA
About the family: Transfer RNA (tRNA) molecules are approximately 80 nucleotides in length.
Source: RNAcentral
GCCCUGGUGGUGUAGCGGAUAGCAUAGGGGACUUCGGAUCCCCUGACCCGGGUUCGAAUCCCGGCCAGGGCU